CUGCAGAUCACUGACUCUGUAAUGAAGGAAUCUAGGAAAUAAGGGAGUUUUUGAACCAGUAAGCAAUACAGCAUAAAAGCAUCCCUUGACAAGUGUUUUGAACUCCAAUCCUAAAUCUCAUCAGCCAGAAGCGGAUCCAGAUUUUUACAACAAAGGGGUUGUGUGGAAGCACACCCCAACCAGGGCAGGCAGAACGCACCACAGGACCAGCGGGUAGGAACUUUUGUGAGUCCUUAAGAAGCAUCUUGCAUCUCUUUUCAAGCCAGCGCAGGGCACGACCAAGAGGUAAUGCACUUCAAUUGCAAAGAGCACUUUCGAAAACUCUCCAGACCUGGACACUCCCUCAGCUAAGAAGCCAGGCUACUUAGUUACACCACUUUGGACAGAUAAAUUAAAGUGAAAACAUCCUUCCAAGUACUAAGAGAGACCUUAAUAGCAGGAUCUGCUCCAUAUUUUGUGGAGGAUAUAUGAGAGCAGUGUGACUACCCGAAUGGAGUGACUCUCUCUUCUAGAGAAACAAAAAAGGAACAAGAAAAGCCUCUCAGUUUUAUAGCCAGUGCUGUCCAGCAGUCUAGUCCCUAAAGAAUGAUGUUAGUGGCUAUGUAGCAAUAUAUGGUCUGACAUUACUCACCUGGCAGAGCAGACAUGCUGAACUGAUCUUAUUUCUUCUGAGCAUUUGGAUCGUACAAGUCGCACACAAACAGGAGCUAAUAAAUAAGCUG
Long non-coding RNA from Alligator sinensis (Chinese alligator), 722 nucleotides. RefSeq lists it as uncharacterized. The transcript has 3 exons. Lineage: Eukaryota; Metazoa; Chordata; Crocodylia; Alligatoridae. The record is from RefSeq and is a predicted model, not a curated record.